This 253-nucleotide ribosomal RNA is filed under the name uncultured bacterium. Its description in RNAcentral is "partial 16S ribosomal RNA". It matches the Rfam family "Bacterial small subunit ribosomal RNA", at positions 524 to 776 of the family's 1533-position model. The record is from RNAcentral.
UACGGGGGGGGCAAGCGUUGUUCGGAAUUACUGGGCGUAAAGGGCUCGUAGGCGGCCAACUAAGUCGGAUGUGAAAUCCCCAGGCUUAACCUGGGAACUGCAUCCGAUACUGGAUGGCUCGAAUCCGGGAGAGGGAUGCGGAAUUCCAGGUGUAGCGGUGAAAUGCGUAGAUAUCUGGAGGAACACCGGUGGCGAAGGCGGCAUCCUGGACCGGCAUUGACGCUGAGGAGCGAAAGCCAGGGGAGCAAACGGG